This 207-nucleotide long non-coding RNA is filed under the name Sorghum bicolor (sorghum). RNAcentral's name for it is "long non-coding RNA (SBIC_LNC018820)". Lineage: Eukaryota; Viridiplantae; Streptophyta; Magnoliopsida; Poales; Poaceae. The record is from RNAcentral.
CCGAAUCGGUUACUUACUGCUACCAGCGUACAGUACCUCUCAUCACGACGAGAGAGAGAGAGAGAGAGAGAGAGAGACGUACCUUGCGCCUCAUCCAUGGCUGGUGGUCGGAGAGAGAGAGAGACGACGACGGCUCCAGCAACUUUUGAGCGAGAGAGAAACGGGGUGGGGGCGACGACGCGAGACGCGACGGUGCCAAAGAUUCCC